CAGAAGUUGCAUUGUUCUCUCUGGGCAUUCAGCGUAACUCACUCACUUGAAACUGCUUUCGUGGACAAAACGUGUUUCUAGGUCUAAGGUUAUCAGCUUUCAGAGUGAAAACACAUAAUCCCUGUUAGAGUGGAAGACUUAAAAUCGAGUUUGAGACACACCUUCUGAAACUGCAGCCUCUUGGGAGCCUGAUUACCAGUGAAGAGUGUUGCUGCUUUGCAUUUUUCACACUUGAACACAGUGAAGAAGAUGAACAUUAAUUAGGAUUAUAAUGCCAUGAAGGCUUACUGUGCUGUGAGAACUCACAAGAAGGAAAAUGCCAUUUCUUUUUUU
This is a long non-coding RNA of Cercocebus atys (sooty mangabey), 333 nucleotides long. RefSeq lists it as uncharacterized. The transcript is spliced from 2 exons. NCBI's taxonomy places the organism in Eukaryota, Metazoa, Chordata, Mammalia, Primates, Cercopithecidae. The record is from RefSeq and is a predicted model, not a curated record.